This 433-nucleotide ribosomal RNA is filed under the name uncultured bacterium. RNAcentral's name for it is "partial 16S ribosomal RNA". It matches the Rfam family "Bacterial small subunit ribosomal RNA", at positions 29 to 507 of the family's 1533-position model. The record is from RNAcentral.
AACGAACGCUGGCGGCAUGCCUAACACAUGCAAGUCGAACGAGACCUUCGGGUCUAGUGGCGCACGGGUGCGUAACGCGUGGGAACCUGCCCUUAGGUUCGGAAUAACUCCCCGAAAGGGGUGCUAAUACCGGAUAAUGUCUUCGGACCAAAGAUUUAUCGCCUUUGGAUGGGCCCGCGUUGGAUUAGCUAGUUGGUAGGGUAAAAGCCUACCAAGGCGACGAUCCAUAGCUGGUCUGAGAGGAUGAUCAGCCACACUGGGACUGAGACACGGCCCAGACUCCUACGGGAGGCAGCAGUGGGGAAUAUUGGACCAUGGGCGAAAGCCUGAUCCAGCAAAGCCGCGUGAGUGAUGAAGGCCUUAGGGUUGUAAAGCUCUUUUACCCGGGAUGAUAAUGACAGUACCGGGAGAAUAAGCUCCGGCUAACUCCGUG